Bubalus bubalis (water buffalo) is the source of this 1030-nucleotide long non-coding RNA. RefSeq lists it as uncharacterized. Lineage: Eukaryota; Metazoa; Chordata; Mammalia; Artiodactyla; Bovidae. The transcript is spliced from 3 exons. The record is from RefSeq and is a predicted model, not a curated record.
UAACACGGAGCUGUAACACUGAUCUGUUUAAGAGCUAAAACACGAUCUGUUCGAGACCUGAGAGCUUUAACACGGUCUGUCCGAGAGCUAUGGCACGCCGAGGGCUCUAUCGUCCGUCGCUUCGAAUUUUUGUUGAGACGAGACAGAACCGAGGAAAAUACACUCGCCUGACACUCCCACCGUGAUGGAGGAGCUGCGGCUGCCUGCGGUGUUCAGUAUUUAUCAUGCGUUGAAUAGUCUGUGGUUACUUGUGUGAUUACCUGUUCAACACAUGUCUUCCACACUCAGCUCUAAGUUCCAUGAAGAAAAGGAGUAUGUCUGCUGCAUAUCAUCUGCACAUGGCAGACUGCCCUCUGGUGGUUAAACACAGAAGAGAGCGUGGCCAGGAAGAGCCAGGAGUAGGUAAGCGCGGCAAGAAGGGCCUCCAGAGGAAGACACGUGUCCGUUCUCCAUCCUUGGGAAAGGCUCCCUCCAAGUCUAACAGCAAGCCCCGGCACAGGAAAAGCAAGGAGCUUUCAAAAGCCCCAGAAACCCCACCCUACCCGCAUUGGGGUGGCCUGGAGAUAGGGGGAAGCUAGUUUAAACAGCUGUUUUCAUCCUCAGCGGUGCUGGCAAAGGCUUAAGAACAGGCUCUCUCUCUAACAAAAUCCUAACACGUAGCGUUUACUAAUUCUGUGGUAUAAAUACUCCCACCGUGGCCAAUUUCAAAUGACCAGUGUGAUGUCACUAAAAGCAUGUCAUUAUAUAGUAUUUCCACCGCACAGAUACCACAGACAUAAUUAAGUUCAAGAACAUGGUUAAUAGUAAAAGAUGGUAAAAUAAUUGGCAAGUGAUGAGUUUGAGUAUUUAUUACAUUUGUUUUCAACAUAGAAUAUUUAAUUGUGAGCUUAUAUGAUUUACUUUUUAAUAAUGACUGCAUUUAACAACUGGCUUGAAAAAUUCUGGAAAAUUUAAUAAUCAGUUCUUGCAAGCCUAGUAGUAAGAACUAGCUCCAGCACACGACUGCUUAUUCCCCUUCCUCUUCUCUUUC